CUGCGAUGGUUGUCGUCAGCUCGUGCCGUGAGGUGUCGGGUUAAGUCCCAUAACGAGCGCAACCCUUAUCGUUAGUUGCCAUCUGGUAAUGCAGGGGACUCUAGCGAAACUGCCACCGUAAGGUGAGAGGAAGGUGGGGAUGACGUCAAAUCAGCACGGCCCUUAUGUCCAGGGCUACACACGUGUUACAAUGGUCGGUACAGAGGGCAGCUACCUGGUGACAGGAUGCUAAUCUCGAAAACCGGUCUCAGUUCGGAUCGAAGUCUGCAACUCGACUUCGUGAAGCUGGAUUCGCUAGUAAUCGCGCAUCAGCUAUGGCGCGGUGAAUACGUUCCCGGGCCUU
RNAcentral lists this ribosomal RNA (343 nucleotides) under uncultured Sphingobacteriales bacterium. RNAcentral's name for it is "bacterial SSU rRNA". It matches the Rfam family "Bacterial small subunit ribosomal RNA", at positions 1041 to 1382 of the family's 1533-position model. Lineage: Bacteria; Pseudomonadati; Bacteroidota; Sphingobacteriia; Sphingobacteriales. The record is from RNAcentral.